This 450-nucleotide ribosomal RNA is filed under the name uncultured bacterium. RNAcentral's name for it is "partial 16S ribosomal RNA". It matches the Rfam family "Bacterial small subunit ribosomal RNA", at positions 354 to 796 of the family's 1533-position model. The record is from RNAcentral.
GUGGGGAAUCUUCCGCAAUGGACGAAAGUCUGACGGAGCAACGCCGCGUGAGUGAAGAAGGUUUUCGGAUCGUAAAGCUCUUUCGUUAGGGACGAACGUGCUCUUUGUGAAUAAUGAGGAGUAAUGACGGUACCUAAAUAAGAAGCCACGGCUAACUACGUGCCAGCAGCCGCGGUAAUACGUAGGUGGCAAGCGUUGUCCGGAAUUAUUGGGCGUAAAGCGCGCGCAGGCGGGAUAUCAAGUCCGUCUUAAAAGUGCGAGGCUCAACCUCGUGAGGGGACAGAAACUGGUAUUCUUGAGUGUCGGAGAGGAAAGUGGAAUUCUAAGUGUAGCGGUGAAAUGCGUAGAGAUUUGGAAGAACACCAGUGGCGAAGGCGACUUUCUGGACGAUGUCUGACGCUGAGGCGCGAAAGCUAGGGGAGCGAACGGGAUUAGAUACCCGAGUAGUCC